CCCUCCUAGAGGAUGUCUGUCCAUCUCCCAGCAUUAAUGCUGUGUUCCUCCUGCGUCCCCUCUGUAGACACCGAACGGGCCGUGGAAAUCCUGACGAGAUACCAAAGCACCCUGUGCUCCCCAGAGGAACAGGAGCUGAAAGCCUCCAUCGGAAAGAUCUCACACAUCUUCCAAAGUGAACUCUUUCAGGCUCUGCUGGAUAUCCACGAAUUCUAUGACUUCACUCUGCGCUCAGCACCCCUGCAGCCUCCCAGCCCAGCAGUGCAUCGUGGCACAGCCCGGCACCUCAGCCCCAGAGAGCCCCACAG
RNAcentral lists this long non-coding RNA (308 nucleotides) under Gallus gallus (chicken). RNAcentral's name for it is "long non-coding RNA NONGGAT006634". The record is from RNAcentral. Lineage: Eukaryota; Metazoa; Chordata; Aves; Galliformes; Phasianidae.